Molecule: ribosomal RNA, 254 nt
Filed under: uncultured bacterium
Lineage: Bacteria
Description: partial 16S ribosomal RNA
Rfam family: Bacterial small subunit ribosomal RNA
Source: RNAcentral
CACGUAGGGGGCGAGCGUUGUCCGGAUUUAUUGGGCGUAAAGAGCUCGUAGGCGGUUCGGCAAGUCGGGUGUGAAAUUUCGAGGCUCAACCUCGAAACGCCACUCGAUACUGCUGUGACUGGAGUCCGGUAGAGGAGUGCGGAAUUCCUGGUGUAGCGGUGAAAUGCGCAGAUAUCAGGAGGAACACCAGUGGCGAAGGCGGUGCUCUGGGCCGGAACUGACGCUGAGGAGCGAAAGCGUGGGGAGCAAACAGG